RNAcentral lists this ribosomal RNA (253 nucleotides) under uncultured bacterium. Its description in RNAcentral is "partial 16S ribosomal RNA". It matches the Rfam family "Bacterial small subunit ribosomal RNA", at positions 524 to 776 of the family's 1533-position model. The record is from RNAcentral.
UACGUAGGGGGCAAGCGUUGUCCGGAUUUAUUGGGCGUAAAGAGCGUGUAGGCGGCCAGGUAGGUCAGCUGUGAAAACUCGAGGCUUAACCUCGAGACGCCGGCUGAAACCCUCUGGCUAGAGUCCGGAAGAGGAGAGCGGAAUUCCUGGUGUAGCGGUGAAAUGCGCAGAUAUUAGGAGGAACACCUAUGGCGAAGGCAGCUCGCUGGGACGGUAUUGACGCUGAGACGCGAAAGCGUGGGGAGCGAACAGG